UGGGCUCGGCCACUCGGACCUCCGAAGUCGCCUUCUGCUCCCGGAGACUCCGGCCCCCGCCCCCAGCUCCCGGCCCGCAGCCGGAGCGGGGUCUCCGCGGGAAUGCGCCCCAACACCCGAGCGCCCGUGCGACGCGAGGCCGACGCAGCCGCUCCCCGCGCCUCGGGCUCCCCAUGUGCCCUGCGGAUUCUCACUCUCCUGAGAGCUACCUGAGAACCAGAAAGUGCUGAAGCCUCCAAGGCGGUCAGGUGUCCACCCCACGAACUCAACGCGAGGACCACUGAGCUGCCGCCCAGCCUCACCCACCGGGAGACAGGCGUAGCUGAUAACCUCCUGAGCCCGGCGAUGAGCCCAGGGGUUUGUCAUCCACUGUGACACAGCCAGUCCUUGGAACACAUCUGGGUCCAGCAGCUCCUGACUGCCUCUGGACACAGAGUGAAAAGGCCUCGCUGGUCUCACCUCAGUCAGCCUGGAGAGGUGGUGACAUCCAGGUGUAUUUGCCACUGACCGAAGGGAUCCUCUAGAGC
Long non-coding RNA from Pteropus alecto (black flying fox), 527 nucleotides. RefSeq lists it as uncharacterized. The transcript has 3 exons. NCBI's taxonomy places the organism in Eukaryota, Metazoa, Chordata, Mammalia, Chiroptera, Pteropodidae. The record is from RefSeq and is a predicted model, not a curated record.